GAUGAACGCUGGCGGCGUGCCUAAUACAUGCAAGUCGAGCGAACGGACGAGAAGCUUGCUUCUCUGAUGUUAGCGGCGGACGGGUGAGUAACACGUGGAUAACCUACCUAUAAGACUGGGAUAACUUCGGGAAACCGUAGCUAAUACCGGAUAAUAUUUUGAACCGCAUGGUUCAAAAGUGAAAGACGGUCUUGCUGUCACUUAUAGAUGGAUCCGCGCUGCAUUAGCUAGUUGGUAAGGUAACGGCUUACCAAGGCAACGAUGCAUAGCCGACCUGAGAGGGUGAUCGGCCACCCUGGAACUGAGACACGGUCCAGACUCCUACGGGAGGCAGCAGUAGGGAAUCUUCCGCAAUGGGCGAAAGCCUGACGGAGCAACGCCGCGUGAGUGAUGAAGGUCUUCGGAUCGUAAAACUCUGUUAUUAGGGAAGAACAUAUGUGUAAGUAACUGUGCACAUCUUGACGGUACCUAAGCAGAAAGCCACGGCUAACUACGUG
RNAcentral lists this ribosomal RNA (497 nucleotides) under uncultured bacterium. RNAcentral describes it as "partial 16S ribosomal RNA". It matches the Rfam family "Bacterial small subunit ribosomal RNA", at positions 28 to 507 of the family's 1533-position model. The record is from RNAcentral.